RNAcentral lists this ribosomal RNA (279 nucleotides) under uncultured Lysobacteraceae bacterium. Its description in RNAcentral is "uncultured Xanthomonadaceae bacterium partial 16S ribosomal RNA". It matches the Rfam family "Bacterial small subunit ribosomal RNA", at positions 548 to 826 of the family's 1533-position model. The record is from RNAcentral. Lineage: Bacteria; Pseudomonadati; Pseudomonadota; Gammaproteobacteria; Lysobacterales; Lysobacteraceae.
GAAUUACUGGGCGUAAAGCGUGCGUAGGCGGURAUUUAAGUCYGAUGUGAAAUCCCCGGGCUCAACCUGGGAAYGGCAUUGGAGACUGGAUCGCUAGAGUGUGGCAGAGGAGGGUGGAAUUCCCGGUGUAGCGGUGAAAUGCGUAGAGAUCUGGAGGAACACCAGUGGCGAAGGCGGCCCUCUGGAHCAAUACUGACGCUGAUGCACGAAAGCGUGGGGAGCAAACAGGAUUAGAUACCCUGGUAGUCCACGCCCUAAACGAUGCSAACUGGAUGUUGG